Molecule: long non-coding RNA, 214 nt
Filed under: Elaeis guineensis (African oil palm)
Lineage: Eukaryota; Viridiplantae; Streptophyta; Magnoliopsida; Arecales; Arecaceae
Description: long non-coding RNA (EGUI_LNC060385)
Source: RNAcentral
GUGGGCUCACGACACUCGUAGCUCACUUUCUCACUUCCUGAACCCUAGGCAGAAACCUUAGGGUACACAAGAAAAGCCUGCGCCCACUUCUCUCUUCUUUUCUCUUCUUUUCUUUUCUUUUCUCACGCAGGAAAGCUCUCUCAUGCCACCCUUCUCACUCAGAUGUCAUCUACACAUGCCCAAUCUUAUCUCCUUUUUAAAAUGAUGCAAGACC